Molecule: ribosomal RNA, 510 nt
Filed under: uncultured bacterium
Lineage: Bacteria
Description: partial 16S ribosomal RNA
Rfam family: Bacterial small subunit ribosomal RNA
Source: RNAcentral
GACGAACGCUGGCGGCGUGCUUAACACAUGCAAGUCGAACGAAGAGCGAUGGAAGCUUGCUUCUAUCAAUCUUAGUGGCGAACGGGUGAGUAACGCGUAAUCAACCUGUCCUUCAGAGGGGGACAACAGUUGGAAACGACUGCUAAUACCGCAUACGAUCUAAUCUCGGCAUCGAGGAUAGAUGAAAGGUGGCCUCUACAUGUAAGCUAUCACUGAAGGAGGGGAUUGCGUCUGAUUAGCUAGUUGGAGGGGUAACGGCCCACCAAGGCGAUGAUCAGUAGCCGGUCUGGGAGGAUGAACGGCCACAUUGGGACUGAGACACGGCCCAGACUCCUACGGGAGGCAGCAGUGGGGAAUCCUCCGCAAUGGACGAAAGUCUGACGGAGCAACGCCGCGUGAGUGAUGACGGCCUUCGGGUUGUAAAGCUCUGUUAAUCGGGACGAAAGGCCUUCUUGCGAAUAGUGAGAAGGAUUGACGGUACCGGAAGAGAAAGCCACGGCUAACUACGUG